AACGAACGCUGGCGGCAUGCCUAACACAUGCAAGUCGAACGAGACCUUCGGGUCUAGUGGCGCACGGGUGCGUAACGCGUGGGAACCUGCCCUUAGGUUCGGCAUAACUCCCCGAAAGGGGUGCUAAUACCGGAUAAUGUCGUCGGACCAAAGAUUUAUCGCCUUUGGAUGGGCCCGCGUUGGAUUAGCUAGUUGGUAGGGUAAAAGCCUACCAAGGCGACGAUUCAUAGCUGGUCUGAGAGGAUGAUCAGCCACACUGGGACUGAGACACGGCCCAGACUCCUACGGGAGGCAGCAGUGGGGAAUAUUGGACAAUGGGCGAAAGCCUGAUCCAGCAAUGCCGCGUGAGUGAUGAAGGCCUUAGGGUUGUAAAGCUCUUUUACCCGGGAUGAUAAUGACAGUACCGGGAGAAUAAGCUCCGGCUAACUCCGUG
RNAcentral lists this ribosomal RNA (433 nucleotides) under uncultured bacterium. RNAcentral's name for it is "partial 16S ribosomal RNA". It matches the Rfam family "Bacterial small subunit ribosomal RNA", at positions 29 to 507 of the family's 1533-position model. The record is from RNAcentral.